UUGACCGAAACUUGAAGUUCAGUUUAUUUGUUAGUAACCACGUGUGCGCAGUUAGGUUUGUUUAUUUUACAACAAAAUAAGCUUUAUGAUCUUAACUACGCUAUCGUUUCUUUCUUAUAUUUGGCAAGGACCGUGUACGUCGGGCAAGAAGACAGAACACUCCGGCAAAGCAAUGGAACGAACAUUUAUCGCUGUAAAACCCGAUGGUGUACAAAGAGGCUUAGUUGGUAAAAUUGUCGCUCGUUUUGAGGCAAAAGGAUUUAAACUAGUUGCGAUGAAAAUGGCGACUGCAACAGAAGACCAUCUCAAAAAGCAUUACUCAGAUUUGUCGUCAAAACCCUUUUUUGCCGGGCUUGUAAAAUACAUGGGCUCUGGGCCUGUAGUAGCAAUGGUUUGGGAGGGGCAAGGAGUAGUGAAGACUGGAAGAGUGAUGUUGGGAGCCACAAACCCCGCGGACUCGCUUCCAGGGACCAUCAGAGGUGACUUUGGCAUCCAAGUUGGAAGAAAUGUCUGCCAUGGAUCUGAUUCAGUAGAAUCUGCAACUAAGGAGAUUGGUUUGUGGUUCACUGAUUGCGAGCUUAAUGCUUAUACUAGUUGUUCACAGUCCUGGUUAUAUGAAUAAUCAACGUUACAUAACACUGCAAUAUUAAAAGUACUUUGGUUCUAAUAAAAUAGCCUGACGUUUCUUAAAAAAAAGGUCCAAAAUUUAAAUCUUUAUCAAAAGUUUGUGUUCUUAUAAUAUUAGUGCAAAUGCUAUGUGGUAUUAAUCAAUGUUUCAUAAAACUGCAAUAUUAAAAGUACUUUGGUGAUAAUAAAACUGCUUGAUGUAAUAUUCUACAAAGAUGGCCUAUACAAAAACCUUCUUAAAGUUUGUAUUUUCAUAAUAUUGGUGCAAAUGCAAUAGAAUAUGAUUAUUAAUGUUCCAUUAACACUGGAAUAGUUAAAGUACUUUGGUUUUGAUAAAAUAGCCCAAUGUACCUUACUAUUAAGUUUGCCUAUACGAAAAUCUUUAUUAUAAGUUUGUAUUAUCAUAACAUAAUAAAUGUACUUUGCAAAUAAAUGGGAUUUAAUCUUUAAAUGUAAACGUAUCAUGUUUUGCAUUUCCUUCUGCGAUGAAUUCAACGUAUUCAGCUGUAUUUUCAAAUUACUAAUAUUAGAAAAUUCAUUUUUCGCUUUGUUGCAUACCGUGUUGUAAAUUCUUAUUUCUGUUGUUGUAGUUUUGUCCAACUGUUCGAAUAUGGCUACUAUAAUGUUAAAUAUAAGGCAUUGCUGCUUGAACAAAAUUUGUUAUUAGUUUAAAUUAUGUAAUAUCAAUGUUUGUUUAG
Molecule: RNA transcript, 1325 nt
Organism: Ciona intestinalis (vase tunicate)
Lineage: Eukaryota; Metazoa; Chordata; Ascidiacea; Phlebobranchia; Cionidae
Gene name: nucleoside diphosphate kinase B pseudogene
Source: RefSeq, a predicted model, not a curated record